CCCUUAGAUGUUCUGGGCGGCCCGCGCACUACACUGGCACUCUCAAUCAGAGCCUGGAUCUAACACUUUGGGGUAUUCUAUGAAGUGGUGUCGUGACUGGGAUUAACCCUUGCAAUUAUUGGUUACGAACGAGGAAUUCCUUGUAAUCGCGGUUUAUCAGCCCGCGUUGAAUGCGUCCCUGCCCUUUGUACACACCGCCCGUCGCUCCUACCGAUUGAGUGUUCCGGUGAAUAAUUCGGACUGCAGCAGCGUGGGGACUCCUCAUGCUGCAGCGGAAAGUUUGGUGAACCUUAACACUUAGAGGAAGGAGAAGUCGUAACA
This 321-nucleotide ribosomal RNA is filed under the name uncultured eukaryote. RNAcentral's name for it is "partial 18S ribosomal RNA". It matches the Rfam family "Eukaryotic small subunit ribosomal RNA", at positions 1470 to 1796 of the family's 1831-position model. The record is from RNAcentral.